This 1270-nucleotide long non-coding RNA is filed under the name Homo sapiens (human). Its description in RNAcentral is "non-protein coding lnc-PNN-4:1". The record is from RNAcentral. Lineage: Eukaryota; Metazoa; Chordata; Mammalia; Primates; Hominidae.
AACAACACCCCGUUUAUUAGUUUCUUCUUUGUUCAUCAUUUUGCUUAAUAGAAGUUACACAAAAUUGGGGGCGAUAUAUUGUCUUUGCAGACUGUCAUUUGCAGAGGAGUCAUGAAUAAUGAUUCCAAAGCCCCUAGUUUAGCUCCUGAAUCAGACAAAGAAUAAAUGACAACAUAAGAAUGAAUUUUGUUUACAGCAAUAUUAUAAUACAACAUUGAAUUACUGCAGUGAAGUGGUUGCAGUUUUCACAAUAAAAUAUUACUAGCUCAAACACUAGACAAACUAAAAUCACCCGACUGCUUACAAACCGAAGUGAUCAGUGCAAGCAGUUGUUGCCUCAAUAGCGAAAAGCAAAAUCGGUAAGGCUUUUCUGGCAGUCUCUGACAUGAACGCUCCAUCUCUGCUCAGUGAGGACCUGGGCAGCCACACUUUGAAUCUUGGUCUUCCUUUUUAUCUAAAAGGGUGAAGUAGAUCCCCAGCUUUCUCAGUUCUCCCACCAGGUCCUCAUUCUGGCACAUCUGCAGAAGAAUGUUACAGCCCCUGACAAACUCUCCAUUGAGGUAUGCUUGUGGGAUGGUGGGCCGGUUGGAAUAGUCUUAAUAGAAGCACUUUGAGUCCAAAGCAGAUAAAUAAAAGUAGAUCUAUACCUAAGGUCAUGCCAUUGGAAAUCUACAGAAUACUAAGGAAAUUUGAAAGCAACCAGCAGGACAAAUUACCUAUAAACAGCAAACUAAUAGCCUUCUCAUCAGUAAUUAUACAGGUCCAAAAUUAUGUAUAUACAGAUGCUAACACAUGGUAAAUGUUCAAUGAGUGAUAAAAUAUUAACUUUGAGAACAGAUAUGAUGAUGGCUAUCUUUUUUUGGAAAAAGGAAAUGUGAUCUUUCAAAAGGCAAAACAUCAGAGAAUCUUGGGGUUGGAGAAGACUGAAAAAUGACUCAGUUCAUUUCUAUAGAUAUAAAUAUUUUGCUUAACCAGGGCCAGUGUGUGUUCAUCCCAAGAGAUCUUGUCUAAUAUUCAAACAGGCAGUUAAGGAGGCUGUCCUCUUCCUAUCAAGGUAUGUGUUCACAUGGAAAUUAGGCAGCUAUUUAACAGGUCUGAGGGAUGUUUCUGUAUUGAGACUGACCCAGUAGCCUCUGCGAUUACUUGCAAUAACAUCUCUGGAUGUUAGUAAUAUGAGAAACUCAUUUUGCGUGUAAUACUUCAUAUUUUUCAAAACAAUCCUGUGAAGGAGUUAAGGCAGGUAUUUGAAUUCUCAUUUUAGGUAAAACCU